UCUUUGAUUUCAUUAGCCACUUUUCCUUGUCUCCUUGUUACUUGGCAAGCAUCUCAUGUGUCACUUGAUCUACUCUUUGUCCUUCUAAUCAUCCUUACUGUCUAGUGAUAAUAGUGAUAAUUCACUAAAUGUAUGCAAACACACAAUAAACUAAUAAACAGUAUGGCUGCUAUGAAAGGACAUUGCAUGACAUCCACUGAUGCCACUUGUGCAAGGUAGGAAGAGAGGGAGUGCUUUGGCUCUAGCACGGGGCUUUGUGGGUUGGAAGUCUGGAGGUGGAGAGCUUCUGUGAACCACUCGGUCUGCCCAAAAGCCCUGUUCUCCAUCCUUGAUGCCUCUGCUCCUAAGUGAUACUACUUUCAAUCCAGGAGCCCAGGAGCCCAGAACAGAUCCAUUUAUCCUGGAAGUCACAGGGUAGGGUAGUGGAGGCUCCAUCACAUAGACGUAAAGGCAGUGCAAGGUGCAGUGCAACUUAUGAAUGCACAAAGGCCCCUCAUCCCCCAGUGUGGUCCACAGCCAUGGUACAUCCUGUGAAAGGGGGAAAGAUACUGUGCUUCAAGUGUUACAGUUCUUAAUAACCCACUCUUCCCAUGUAUAUCCACAGGAAGACAGACAGACACACACACAUACACACAUACACACACACACACACACAGAGCCAUUUUAUACCCAAAGUCACAUUCAUGGGUCUAAGAUAGUCAGGUCAAGGAUAGUUCCUGAAUUAGCCAAACACCGUGGCCCUCCCUCUCUAAACCCUGGGCCAGACUCCCAUCCUAUGGUGACUUCUCCCUCAGCAUCUCCUAUGCUCCUCUCCUGCCCUCUGGCAUCUGCUGGGCCAAAUCCAUUUAUAACAUAUAUUGUAACAACAUUCCAUUUUAUCGGGAAGGUUUUAAGGUCUCAAUGCAGACACUCCCUAGAGACACCUGUGUUCCUGAUGCUAAUGCACCCCAACUCUCUCCAUCACAGCCAACUCCCUUGACAUGUAUAUUACCAAUGAGCCAUUCCAUGAACUUGCCCAGAACAAGACAAGAGAAAGUAGUUAGAGACAUAAAAAUUGGAAAGGAAGAAGUCAUCACUAUUUUAAAAUUCUAUGAUGAUACACCAGAAAACAAGAAAACUGACAGGAAACCUAUAGUAAACAAUAAGAAUAUUUAAUAACGUAGCAGGCUACAGAAUUAAUAAACAAGCAAUUACCAGUCAGAAGAUAUAAUGAGGGGGAAGAUCUUCAUUUAUAAUAGGAACCAGAGAGAAAGAAGAUAAUAUAAACUUAACCCAAAAAUUCCACAGCUACAGAAAAAAACUUGAAAACAGUUCUGAAGGAAAAAAAUGAGACUUGAACAAAUAGAUGAACUAUGUUGUGAUAUAUCACUACUCUCUAAAGGAAUUCACAAAUUAAACAUUAUACCAAUCUAACUACCAAUAGACUUAUCAUUUUCUGGAGCUAGACAAGAUGAUUCUAAAGUCCUCCAAGAGGAAUAAAGUAGGAAAAUUCCAAAAAGCAAGAGCAAAGAGUGGUAUUAAUGUAUACUGCUGGCUGGGUGCUGUGGCUCACACCUGUAGUCCCAACACUUUGGGAGACCAAAGUGGGAGGAUCGCUUGAGGCCAGGGGUUCAAGACAAGUCUGGGCAACAUAGCAAGAUCCAAGCUCUACAAAAAAUUAAAUAAAACUAGCUAGACACGGUGGUGCAUGCCUACAGUCCCAGCUACUUGGGAGACUGAUAUGGGAGGAUCACUUGAGCCCAGAAGUUCAAGGCUGAGCUAUGAUUGUGAGCUAUGAUUGUGCCACCACCCUCCAGCCGAGGCAACAGAGUAAGACCUUGUCUCUUAAAAAAAAAAAAAAAAAAAAAAAAAAAAAAA
This 1857-nucleotide long non-coding RNA is filed under the name Macaca fascicularis (crab-eating macaque). Its description in RNAcentral is "lncRNA (ENSMFAG00000060535.1)". Lineage: Eukaryota; Metazoa; Chordata; Mammalia; Primates; Cercopithecidae. The record is from RNAcentral.